GCCUUCGUAGUGUAGUGGUCAGCACGCUCGACGCGUAUUCGAGAGGUCCGUAGUUCGAGUCCCGGUGAGGCCA
This is a non-coding RNA of Stegodyphus mimosarum, 73 nucleotides long. The record is from Rfam. NCBI's taxonomy places the organism in Eukaryota, Metazoa, Arthropoda, Arachnida, Araneae, Eresidae.